UAAUGAGGGAGCAUCUUCAAACUAAACUUGCAAAACAGUCUGUCCCCCUUAUUGUUGCUAGAAGAACGGAUAUUUAUAUACCAGUGUAUUUGGAAAAAGUAUUUUUAUGAUAUAAUGAAAUUAUAUCAUUAAUUAGAAGCACAAAGUAGAUUAUAAUAGUGACUGAGAAUCUAAUGGGGAAUAUGUAAAAUAGACGUCUUUACCUAAUACAGAGAUAGAGAUGGCGCUUGUGAUGAGGUCACACAGGUUGGU
Molecule: long non-coding RNA, 252 nt
Organism: Sander lucioperca (pikeperch)
Lineage: Eukaryota; Metazoa; Chordata; Actinopteri; Perciformes; Percidae
Exons: 3
Source: RefSeq, a predicted model, not a curated record